Molecule: transfer RNA, 72 nt
Filed under: Trichodes sp.
Lineage: Eukaryota; Metazoa; Arthropoda; Insecta; Coleoptera; Cleridae
Description: tRNA-Ala
Source: RNAcentral
AGGAUAAUAGUUAAUAGUACUAUAACAUUUAAAUUGCAAUUAAAAAUAAUUGAUAAAGCUCAAUUUAUCUUU